RNAcentral lists this ribosomal RNA (163 nucleotides) under Usnea cornuta. RNAcentral's name for it is "5.8S ribosomal RNA". It matches the Rfam family "5.8S ribosomal RNA". From Rfam's summary of the family: 5.8S ribosomal RNA (5.8S rRNA) is a component of the large subunit of the eukaryotic ribosome. It is transcribed by RNA polymerase I as part of the 45S precursor that also contains 18S and 28S rRNA. The record is from RNAcentral. Lineage: Eukaryota; Fungi; Ascomycota; Lecanoromycetes; Lecanorales; Parmeliaceae.
UUUCAACAACGGAUCUCUUGGGUCCAGCAUCGAUGAAGAACGCAGCGAAAUGCGAUAAGUAAUGUGAAUUGCAGAAUUCAGUGAAUCAUCGAAUCUUUGAACGCACAUUGCGCCCCUCGGUAUUCCGGGGGGGCAUGCCUGUUCGAGCGUCAUUACACCCCUC